This 80-nucleotide small nucleolar RNA is filed under the name Cladophialophora carrionii. Its description in RNAcentral is "A. fumigatus snoRNA Afu_294". It matches the Rfam family "A. fumigatus snoRNA Afu_294". Lineage: Eukaryota; Fungi; Ascomycota; Eurotiomycetes; Chaetothyriales; Herpotrichiellaceae. The record is from Rfam by way of RNAcentral.
UGCUCUGAUGAUCUCAUGUAUUUCGCUGUGUUCUUGCUGAAUCCUUAUGUGGAACAUACAUCACCUUGGAGAACUGAUCC